This 479-nucleotide ribosomal RNA is filed under the name uncultured bacterium. Its description in RNAcentral is "partial 16S ribosomal RNA". It matches the Rfam family "Bacterial small subunit ribosomal RNA", at positions 28 to 507 of the family's 1533-position model. The record is from RNAcentral.
GAUGAACGCUAGCGGGAGGCCUAACACAUGCAAGCCGAGCGGUAGAGUUUCUUCGGAAACUUGAGAGCGGCGCACGGGUGCGUAACACGUGUGCAACCUACCUUUAUCUGGGGGAUAGCCUUUCGAAAGGAAGAUUAAUACCCCAUAAUAUAAUGAUUGGCAUCAAUUAUUAUUGAAAACUCCGGUGGAUAGAGAUGGGCACGCGUAAGAUUAGAUAGUUGGUGAGGUAACGGCUCACCAAGUCAAUGAUCUUUAGGGGUCCUGAGAGGGAGAUCCCCCACACUGGUACUGAGACACGGACCAGACUCCUACGGGAGGCAGCAGUGUGGAAUAUUAGACAAUGGGUGAGAGCCUGAUCCAGCCAUCCCGCGUGAAGGAUGACGGUCCUAUGGAUUGUAAACUUCUUUUGUACAGGGAUAAACCUACCCUCGUGAGGGUAGCUGAAGGUACUGUACGAAUAAGCACCGGCUAACUCCGUG